This 492-nucleotide ribosomal RNA is filed under the name uncultured bacterium. RNAcentral describes it as "partial 16S ribosomal RNA". It matches the Rfam family "Bacterial small subunit ribosomal RNA", at positions 28 to 507 of the family's 1533-position model. The record is from RNAcentral.
GAUGAACGCUAGCUACAGGCUUAACACAUGCAAGUCGAGGGGAAACGGCAUUGAGUGCUUGCACUCUUUGGACGUCGACCGGCGCACGGGUGAGUAACGCGUAUCCAACCUUCCCAUUACUGUGGGAUAACCUGCCGAAAGGCAGACUAAUACCGCAUAGUCUUCGAUGACGGCAUCAGAUUUGAAGUAAAGAUUUAUCGGUAAUGGAUGGGGAUGCGUCUGAUUAGCUUGUUGGCGGGGUAACGGCCCACCAAGGCUACGAUCAGUAGGGGUUCUGAGAGGAAGGUCCCCCACAUUGGAACUGAGACACGGUCCAAACUCCUACGGGAGGCAGCAGUGAGGAAUAUUGGUCAAUGGACGGAAGUCUGAACCAGCCAAGUAGCGUGCAGGAUGACGGCCCUAUGGGUUGUAAACUGCUUUUGUAGGGGGAUAAAGUUAGGGACGUGUCCCUAUUUGCAGGUACCAUACGAAUAAGGACCGGCUAAUUCCGUG